This 429-nucleotide ribosomal RNA is filed under the name Pseudomonadota bacterium. RNAcentral's name for it is "Proteobacteria bacterium partial 16S ribosomal RNA". It matches the Rfam family "Bacterial small subunit ribosomal RNA", at positions 355 to 776 of the family's 1533-position model. The record is from RNAcentral. Lineage: Bacteria; Pseudomonadati; Pseudomonadota.
UGGGGAAUAUUGGACAAUGGGCGAAAGCCUGAUCCAGCCAUGCCGCGUGUGUGAAGAAGGUCUUCGGAUUGUAAAGCACUUUAAGUUGGGAGGAAGGGCAGUAAGCGAAUACCUUGCUGUUUUGACGUUACCGACAGAAUAAGCACCGGCUAACUCUGUGCCAGCAGCCGCGGUAAUACAGAGGGUGCAAGCGUUAAUCGGAAUUACUGGGCGUAAAGCGCGCGUAGGUGGUUCGUUAAGUUGAAUGUGAAAGCCCCGGGCUCAACCUGGGAACUGCAUCCAAAACUGGCGGGCUAGAGUAGGGCAGAGGGUGGUGGAAUUUCCUGUGUAGCGGUGAGAUGCGUAGAUAUAGGAAGGAACACCAGUGGCGAAGGCGACCACCUGGGCUCAUACUGACACUGAGGUGCGAAAGCGUGGGGAGCAAACAGG